Trichonephila clavipes is the source of this 68-nucleotide non-coding RNA. The record is from the annotation of a GenBank genome assembly. Lineage: Eukaryota; Metazoa; Arthropoda; Arachnida; Araneae; Nephilidae.
GCCUCUCCUAGUAGGGUGGUUAUGACACUCGGCUUGUAAUCGAGUGGGUUCGAAUCCCGAGGAAGGCA